AGCCCCCCUCAAGAUGAGAUUUCCCAUCGCGUCAAGCGAGUAAGAUCCCUUGAAGAUGACAAGGUAGAUAGGUCCGAGGUGGAAGCGUGGUGACACGUGUAGCUGACGGAUACUAAUCGAUCGAGGACUUAACUAAG
RNAcentral lists this ribosomal RNA (137 nucleotides) under Anoxybacillus flavithermus. Its description in RNAcentral is "partial 23S ribosomal RNA". It matches the Rfam family "Bacterial large subunit ribosomal RNA", at positions 2791 to 2925 of the family's 2925-position model. Lineage: Bacteria; Bacillati; Bacillota; Bacilli; Caryophanales; Anoxybacillaceae. The record is from RNAcentral.